GAUGAACGCUGGCGGCGUGCCUAAUACAUGCAAGUCGAGCGAACAGAUGAGGAGCUUGCUCCUCUGACGUUAGCGGCGGACGGGUGAGUAACACGUGGAUAACCUACCUAUAAGACUGGGAUAACUUCGGGAAACCGGAGCUAAUACCGGAUAAUAUAUUGAACCGCAUGGUUCAAUAGUGAAAGACGGUUUUGCUGUCACUUAUAGAUGGAUCCGCGCCGCAUUAGCUAGUUGGUAAGGUAACGGCUUACCAAGGCAACGAUGCGUAGCCGACCUGAGAGGGUGAUCGGCCACACUGGAACUGAGACACGGUCCAGACUCCUACGGGAGGCAGCAGUAGGGAAUCUUCCGCAAUGGGCGAAAGCCUGACGGAGCAACGCCGCGUGAGUGAUGUAGGUCUUCGGAUCGUAAAACUCUGUUAUUAGGGAAGAACAAAUGUGUAAGUAACUAUGCACGUCUUGACGGUACCUAAUCAGAAAGCCACGGCUAACUACGUG
Molecule: ribosomal RNA, 497 nt
Filed under: uncultured bacterium
Lineage: Bacteria
Description: partial 16S ribosomal RNA
Rfam family: Bacterial small subunit ribosomal RNA
Source: RNAcentral